RNAcentral lists this ribosomal RNA (356 nucleotides) under Tetragnatha sp. RNAcentral's name for it is "partial large subunit ribosomal RNA". Lineage: Eukaryota; Metazoa; Arthropoda; Arachnida; Araneae; Tetragnathidae. The record is from RNAcentral.
AAUCAUUAGUCUCUUAAUUAGAGACUAGAAUGAAUGGUUUAACAUUUCCUUAACUUUUUUAAUAAUAAAUAUAAAAAUUAUAUUAAAUAUAAAAAUAUAUUUCUGAAAUAAUUAGACGACAAGACCCUUUCAAACUUUACUAAAGUUUAGCUGGGGUAGCUACAUAAUUAUAAUCUUACUAAUCUUAAAUAAAAGACCCAAUAUAAAUUGAUUAAAUGAACAAGUUACUGAAGGGAUAACAGCAUAAUAAAUUUAUAUAGCUCUUAUUAAAAAAUUAGUUUAUGACCUCGAUGUUGAAUUAUUUUACUCCUAAACGCAAGAGUAUAGAAAGUAGGUCUGUUCGACCUUUAAAUUUU